GUCGAGCGAAUCGAUGGGAGCUUGCUCCCUGAGAUUAGCGGCGGACGGGUGAGUAACACGUGGGCAACCUGCCUAUAAGACUGGGAUAACUUCGGGAAACCGGAGCUAAUACCGGAUACGUUCUUUUCUCGCAUGAGAGAAGAUGGAAAGACGGUUUACGCUGUCACUUAUAGAUGGGCCCGCGGCGCAUUAGCUAGUUGGUGAGGUAAUGGCUCACCAAGGCGACGAUGCGUAGCCGACCUGAGAGGGUGAUCGGCCACACUGGGACUGAGACACGGCCCAGACUCCUACGGGAGGCAGCAGUAGGGAAUCUUCCGCAAUGGACGAAAGUCUGACGGAGCAACGCCGCGUGAACGAAGAAGGCCUUCGGGUCGUAAAGUUCUGUUGUUAGGGAAGAACAAGUACCAGAGUAACUGCUGGUACCUUGACGGUACCUAACCAGAAAGCCACGGCUAACUACGUGCCAGCAGCCGCGGUAAUACGUAGGUGGCAAGCGUUGUCCGGAAUUAUUGGGCGUAAAGCGCGCGCAGGUGGUUCCUUAAGUCUGAUGUGAAAGCCCACGGCUCAACCGUGGAGGGUCAUUGGAAACUGGGGAA
This 596-nucleotide ribosomal RNA is filed under the name Peribacillus frigoritolerans. RNAcentral's name for it is "bacterial SSU rRNA". It matches the Rfam family "Bacterial small subunit ribosomal RNA", at positions 61 to 640 of the family's 1533-position model. The record is from RNAcentral. Lineage: Bacteria; Bacillati; Bacillota; Bacilli; Caryophanales; Bacillaceae.